RNAcentral lists this ribosomal RNA (253 nucleotides) under uncultured bacterium. RNAcentral's name for it is "partial 16S ribosomal RNA". It matches the Rfam family "Bacterial small subunit ribosomal RNA", at positions 524 to 776 of the family's 1533-position model. The record is from RNAcentral.
UACGGAGGGUGCAAGCGUUGUCCGGAUUUAUUGGGUUUAAAGGGCGCGUAGGCGGGUGCUCAAGUCUGUGGUGAAAUCCUCCGGCUCAACCGGAGAACUGCCAUGGAUACUGGGUGUCUCGAGGGUGGUAGGGGUAUGCGGAACUAUCGGUGGAGCGGUGAAAUGCGUUGAUAUCGAUAGGAACUCCGGUGGCGAAGGCGGCAUACUGGACCACAUCUGACGCUGAGGCGCGAAAGCCAGGGGAGCGAACGGG